UACGUAGGGUGCGAGCGUUAAUCGGAAUUACUGGGCGUAAAGCGUGCGCAGGCGGUUGUGCAAGACAGAUGUGAAAUCCCCUGGCUUAACCUGGGAACUGCAUUUGUGACUGCACGGCUAGAGUGUGUCAGAGGGGGGUAGAAUUCCACGUGUAGCAGUGAAAUGCGUAGAUAUGUGGAGGAAUACCGAUGGCGAAGGCAGCCCCCUGGGAUAACACUGACGCUCAUGCACGAAAGCGUGGGGAGCAAACAGG
Molecule: ribosomal RNA, 253 nt
Filed under: uncultured bacterium
Lineage: Bacteria
Description: partial 16S ribosomal RNA
Rfam family: Bacterial small subunit ribosomal RNA
Source: RNAcentral